This 253-nucleotide ribosomal RNA is filed under the name uncultured bacterium. RNAcentral's name for it is "partial 16S ribosomal RNA". It matches the Rfam family "Bacterial small subunit ribosomal RNA", at positions 524 to 776 of the family's 1533-position model. The record is from RNAcentral.
UACGGGGGGGGCAAGCGUUGUUCGGAAUUACUGGGCGUAAAGGGCUCGUAGGCGGUCAACUAAGUCAGACGUGAAAUCCCUCGGCUUAACCGGGGAACUGCGUCUGAUACUGGAUGGCUUGAGGUUGGGAGAGGGAUGCGGAAUUCCAGGUGUAGCGGUGAAAUGCGUAGAUAUCUGGAGGAACACCGGUGGCGAAGGCAGGUCUCUGGGCUGACACUGACGCUCAUGCACGAAAGCGUGGGGAGCAAACAGG